Molecule: ribosomal RNA, 442 nt
Filed under: uncultured bacterium
Lineage: Bacteria
Description: partial 16S ribosomal RNA
Rfam family: Bacterial small subunit ribosomal RNA
Source: RNAcentral
CCUACGGGAGGCAGCAGUAGGGAAUCUUUCACAAUGGGCGCAAGCCUGAUGGAGCAACGCCGCGUGCAGGAUGAAGGCCUUCGGGUUGUAAACUGUUUUUAUAAGCGAGAAAUAUGAUGGUAACUUAUGAAUACCGAUCGGCUAACUACGUUCAAGCAGCAGCCGUCAUACGUAGGAUCCGAGCAUUAUCCGGAGUGACUGGGUGUAAAGAGUUGCGUAGGUGGCAUAAUAAGUAGCUAGUGAAAUCUGGUGUCUCAAGCAUUCAGACUAUUAGCUAAACUGUUAAGCUAGAGACCGUUAGGGGUAACUGGAAUGUCUAGUGUAGGAGUGAAAUCCGUAGAUAUUAGAAAGAACACCAAUAGCGUAGGCAGGUUACUGGGACGGGUCUGACACUAAGGCACGAAAGCGUAGGGAGCAAACGGGAUUAGAUACCCCAGUAGUC